UCGAGUUGAUCCUGCUCGAGGUCACUGCUAUUGGGGUUUGAUUAAGACAUGCAUGUCUCGGAUACGAUUAAGGUCCGGGCGGCCAGCUCAGUAACACGUGGACAAUCUGACUUAGGGAGGGGGAUAACCUCGGGAAACUGAGGACAAUACCCCGUAGGCGGCAAGCACUGGAAUGUCUGCCACCGAUAUGUGAAGGCCUGUAUUCGGCUCAACGCCCUAAGAGGAGUCUGCGGCGGAUUAGCCUGACGGUAGGGUAACGGCCUACCGUAGCUACGAUCUGUACCGGCAUUGGGAGAUGGAGCCGGGAGAUGGACACUGAGACAAAGGUCCAGGUUCUACGGAGCGCAGCAGUCGCGAAACCUUCGCAAUGUGCGCAAGCAUGACGAGGGAACCCCAAGUGAGCACGUACAACGUGCUCUUUUACGGAGUGUAAAUAGCUCCGGGAAUAAGGGCUGGGUAAGACUGGUGCCAGCCUCCGCGGUAACACCAGCAGCUCAAGUGGUGAUCGCGUUUACUGGGUUUAAAGGGUGCGUAGUCGGUUCGGCAAGUUUUCUGUGAAAUCCUGCGGCUUAACCGUGGGGAUUGCAGAAAAUACUACCGGGCUAGAGGCCGGGGUAGGUGUGGGGUAUUCUUGGGGUAGCGGUGAAAUGCUAUAAUCCUUGGAGGACCACCCGUAGCGAAGGCGCCACACUGGAACGGGCCUGACGAUGAGGCACGAGAGCUAGGGGAGCAAACAGGAUUAGAUACCCUGGUAGUCCUAGCCGUAAACGAUGUGGGUUUAGUGUCCCCUAAACCUCGUGUUUGGGGGGUGCUGAAGGGAAACCGUUAAACCCACCACCUGGGGAGUACGGUCGCAAGGCUGAAACUUAAAGGAAUUGGCGGGGGAACACCACAAGGGGUGGAUGCUGCGGUUCAAUUGGAUACAACGCCGGGAAACUUACCAGGUGCGACGGCAGGAUGAAGGCCAGGCUGAAGACCUUGCCGAACGAGCCGAGAGGUAGUGCAUGGCCGUCGUCAGCUCGUACCGUGAGGCGUACGGUUAAGUCCGUUAACGAGCGAGACCCGUGCUCCCAUUUGCAACCUUCGGGGAAACCUGAGGGGCACUAUGGGAGGACUGCAGGCGAUGAGUCUGAGGAAGGCGCGGGCAACGGUAGGUCCGUAUGCUCCGAAUCACCUGGGCUACACGCGGCAUACAAUGGCGCAUACAAUGGGUUGCAACGCCGUAAGGUGGAGCUAAUCCCCUAAAAUGCGUCUCAGUACAGAUUGAGGGUUGAAACUCACCCUCAUGAAGGUGAAAUCCCUAGUAAUCGCUGUUUACCAUACAGCGGUGAAUAUGUCCCUGUUCCUUGCACACACCGCCCGUCAAACCAAUCGAGUGGAUUUGAGGUGAGGCAUUCUCUUAACCGGGAGUGUCGAAUCUCAGGUCCGCGAGAGGGGUUAAGUCGUAACAAGGUA
This 1455-nucleotide ribosomal RNA is filed under the name metagenome. RNAcentral's name for it is "bacterial SSU rRNA". It matches the Rfam family "Archaeal small subunit ribosomal RNA". The record is from RNAcentral.